CCUACGGGAGGCAGCAGUGGGGAAUAUUGGGCAAUGGAGGCAACUCUGACCCAGCAACGCCGCGUGAAUGAUGAAUGCCCUAUGGGUUGUAAACUUCUUUUAUAAAGGAAUAAAACGAGGCACGUGUGCCUUUUUGCAUGUACUUUAUGAAUAAGGAUCGGCUAACUCCGUGCCAGCAGCCGCGGUAAUACGGAGGAUCCGAGCGUUAUCCGGAUUUAUUGGGUUUAAAGGGAGCGUAGAUGGGUUGUUAAGUCAGUUGUGAAAGUUUGCGGCUCAACCAUAAAAUUGCAAUUGAUACUGGCAGUCUUGAGUACAGUUGAGGUAGGCGGAAUUCGUGGUGUAGCGGGGAAAUGCUUAGAUAUCACGAAGAACCCCGAUUGCGAAGGCAGCUUACUAAACUGUGACUGACAUUGAUGCUCGAAAGUGUGGGUAUCAAACAGGAUUAGAUACCCGGGUAGUC
RNAcentral lists this ribosomal RNA (460 nucleotides) under uncultured bacterium. RNAcentral's name for it is "partial 16S ribosomal RNA". It matches the Rfam family "Bacterial small subunit ribosomal RNA", at positions 338 to 795 of the family's 1533-position model. The record is from RNAcentral.